CAGCUCGUGGUGGUGGGGCAGCAGCUCCUGGCCCUCCUGCUGGCAGCAGCGCAGCGUGUGCUCGCGCUCCUCGGCCUGCUGCGUCAGGGUGCCGAUCUCC
Molecule: long non-coding RNA, 100 nt
Organism: Myotis brandtii (Brandt's bat)
Lineage: Eukaryota; Metazoa; Chordata; Mammalia; Chiroptera; Vespertilionidae
Exons: 3
Source: RefSeq, a predicted model, not a curated record